Molecule: ribosomal RNA, 255 nt
Filed under: uncultured bacterium
Lineage: Bacteria
Description: partial 16S ribosomal RNA
Rfam family: Bacterial small subunit ribosomal RNA
Source: RNAcentral
UACGGGGGGAGCAAGCGUUGUUCGGAUUUACUGGGCGUAAAGGGCGCGUAGGCGGUCAGCACAAGUCAGUUGUGAAAUCUCCGGGCUUAACUCGGAAAGGUCAACUGAUACUGUGCGACUAGAGUGCAGAAGGGGCAACUGGAAUUCGUCGGUGUAGCGGUGAAAUGCGUAGAUAUCGAGAGGAACACCUGCGGCGAAGGCGGGUUGCUGGGCUGACACUGACGCUGAUGCGCGAAAGCCAGGGGAGCGAACGGG